CCGAGGAGUGACUAGCUACUGAAUCCUUGGUGUGUCAUCAAGGGUAAAGUAAAGGAAAAUAAUGAUAUUACUUUACUAUUAGUGUCGUCCAAAUACUCGUGCCAGAAGACUCGGUAAGGCGAGAGACGCAAGCGUUAAUCAUCUUGACCAGGCGUAAAGGGUUUGUAGGCUGCUUUAAUAUCCUAUAUGAAAUUUUAUUCAUUAUUAGGAAGAUCAAUUUAAAGAUAGAAUCUAAUGGAGGUUAAAACAAUACUUAAGGUAGGAGUACUAACCGUAAAUAUUAAGUAGAGUGUUAAUGGCGAAGGCAUUUAUCCACUAAAGAUUGACGCUGAUAAACGAAAGUGAGGGCAGAAAAAAGGAUUAGAUACCCUUGUAUUCCUCACUGUCAACGAUGAAUGGUAGUCAAUAAUUAGAAGUAAUUUAUAGACAAUGUAAACACGAAAACCAUUCCGCCUUGUGAGUACGACUGCAAGGUUGAAAACAAAAAAAUUAGUCGGUUUCGGAGCAAACGAAGUGAAGCAUGUUAUUUAAUUAAUAAAUAUCCGC
RNAcentral lists this ribosomal RNA (546 nucleotides) under Hymenochaete biformisetosa. RNAcentral describes it as "SSU rRNA". It matches the Rfam family "Bacterial small subunit ribosomal RNA", at positions 401 to 964 of the family's 1533-position model. Lineage: Eukaryota; Fungi; Basidiomycota; Agaricomycetes; Hymenochaetales; Hymenochaetaceae. The record is from RNAcentral.